RNAcentral lists this transfer RNA (100 nucleotides) under Gymnopus androsaceus JB14. It matches the Rfam family "tRNA". From Rfam's summary of the family: Transfer RNA (tRNA) molecules are approximately 80 nucleotides in length. Their secondary structure includes four short double-helical elements and three loops (D, anti-codon, and T loops). Lineage: Eukaryota; Fungi; Basidiomycota; Agaricomycetes; Agaricales; Omphalotaceae. The record is from Rfam by way of RNAcentral.
GCCCGCUUAGCUCAGUGGUAGAGCAUUGUACUUAUGGGAUGACGUUAUCAAAACCUGCGCACAUUUGCAAGGGUCGGCAGUUCAAACCUGCCAGUGGGCA